UUUCCGCGCCAGGAUUGCCUCGAUCUUGCCCGCCCAACAAGCAUAAAUUUCUUCCCGUGGAUUAGCUUCUUCGCGAGGGGCGGAGUUCGCCCUCGCCUUCGUGAUGGCGGAUACGAAGGCGGACGCAAAACCGGAAAAUACAGGCGGCAGCGGCUCGUUCAGCGAGCAGGCGUUUGUCGAGAAGCUCAACAAGCUCAACAACACAGCAACUAGGAUCCAGA
Molecule: long non-coding RNA, 221 nt
Filed under: Oryza brachyantha (malo sina)
Lineage: Eukaryota; Viridiplantae; Streptophyta; Magnoliopsida; Poales; Poaceae
Description: long non-coding RNA (OBRA_LNC003616)
Source: RNAcentral